UACGUAGGGUGCAAGCGUUGUCCGGAAUUAUUGGGCGUAAAGAGCUCGUAGGCGGCUCGUUGCGUCAACCGUGAAAACCCGGGGCUUAACUUCGGGCUUGCGGUUGAUACGGGCGGGCUGGAGUUCGGUAGGGGAGACUGGAAUUCCUGGUGUAGCGGUGAAAUGCGCAGAUAUCAGGAGGAACACCGGUGGCGAAGGCGGGUCUCUGGGCCGAUACUGACGCUGAGGGGCGAAAGCGUGGGGAGCGAACAGG
RNAcentral lists this ribosomal RNA (253 nucleotides) under uncultured bacterium. Its description in RNAcentral is "partial 16S ribosomal RNA". It matches the Rfam family "Bacterial small subunit ribosomal RNA", at positions 524 to 776 of the family's 1533-position model. The record is from RNAcentral.